This 2530-nucleotide long non-coding RNA is filed under the name Medicago truncatula (barrel medic). Its description in RNAcentral is "lncRNA gene24364". Lineage: Eukaryota; Viridiplantae; Streptophyta; Magnoliopsida; Fabales; Fabaceae. The record is from RNAcentral.
UUUUCUCUUGUUUAUUGCAUCCUAGCAAACAUUACACUUGAUCAGUCACAUAUUUGACGCCUAUUCAACGCAUCUUCAAAGCGAAUGCAUGAUCCUACCCUCAUCUCUGUACUCAUGUCAUUCUCUGGUGCUGGAUAGUAAUCCUCUCUCAGCUGAACAUCUCUCAGAUUUGGUAUUUUGAGGAAGUAGUUCAUGAAGUGUUCAUGAGUUGUUCCAUGAAUGAAAAGCUUCCUCAAAGUAUAGCAUUCUUGCAACAGGCCAGCAGCUGGAAGAGACAGACUCCUCUGGUUCACAUCCUCAUCUUGUGGUGGCCAGUAAUGAAGUUCAUUUAGACUCAAGCUACCGAUCCCAUUAAGGAAGAACCUCUCCCACCAACUCAAAUCCAAUUGGCCGGAAGGCGCUGUGUAUACAUAACCUUUUGUAUCGCCACAAUCCAGCUGCAUCUUUGACAACUGAGGAUAACAAGCUAGAAUGCUCAAACCAAAUUCGCGCACUGCCGGUUUGGGCUGUCCUCUGCAAUCUCCUUCGACUUUUAUACGAAUCUCUUCUAGAUUGGGGCAAUCCUCCAACCCUGCUACUGGCAACUGAGUCAAAAGUUCACCAACCUUUAUCCAAAGAGAAAGAUACUCCAACCUAUCCCAGCUAUAGCCAUAGUAUCCAUUGCCGUUACCAUUGCCAUUGCUUUGCACAAACAAAUCAUCAGCCUCCAAUCCAUACUCACACCUUUGCCUCUUCCUCAUGCUUGUGUCUUCUCCACAUUCCUCACCUCCAAAGCAAUCCAUUAACUCUGAACCGUUCAGUUCAUCCAAAGUGUUCAGAUCAAAGUUGAACAAACCUUGUCCGAAGUUAUCACUUUCUUUCCAUAUACAAUCCAAGUGAAGCCGCUCAAUCCGGUCCCGAAUAGGCUCCAAAGCUCUAAGAGUAGCAGCCGCAUCCAGGUUGACACAUGAAGCAACCUUAACAUCAAUCAAAGUCCUUCGAAGCAAACACGCCAUAGUCCUCAACCCUUUUUCAGUAACAAGCUUACAACCCUGAAUCUCAAAUCUCACCAACCGUGAACACCCUCUCCCAAUCUCAAUCAACCCCAUAUCAUCAAGAUCACCACACGUGUUAACAGACAACGAUUGAAGCCCAUGGCAAAGCGCAAUUCCGUCAAGCCGUGACCCAAUUGCCAAACAAAUCCCCUGAAACUGACCCAACUUCACAACCUUCAAAUUAGGACAUUUAGAACUCAACAUCUCCAAAGCAAAACUAGUCUCGGUGACAUUUUUACAAACAUCUAGCACCAAUUCUUCCAGAAGAGGCAACCCAGUGAACAACGCUACAAGCGUGGCACGACUCACCCUAGCAUCCUCUACACCUUCUUCCUCUCUCCGAUUCGAAAACGACGACGUAUCAGCCAUGUGAAGAAGUUUCAGCUUAGGACAAUUAGAAGCGACGGCCAAUAAAGUUUCGUCACCGACAAAACCGAUGUAUCUCGGAUCAAAAGUGCAUGCAACAAGAAAGUGUUCCAGAUUAGGGCAAGAUGAAGUGAUGGAUUCGAUUUGGUUAGACUUGAACCCCUCCGUGAACGACGUCGUUAAGAGAUUCAAACGACGGAGUGAGGCGGCUGUGGUAGUAUUCUCCGCCAAAACCGGUGGAAGAUCCUCCGGCCAGUGAUAGAACGAUGAAAGAUCAAGUGAAGUAAUCGAUCGGCACCGUGAGAACAAGGCGUCGAAGUCUGACCCCGGUUGCAACCCCUGCGGCCGUUGAUGCCACCGAACAAGCCGAACAUCACGAAGCUCCGGCCAGUGGUUGAAGAGAAGAAGGUGAAGCGUGUGCGGGUCACGCACGUAGACAGUGAGUGAAGUCACGCGCGGGAAAGUAUUUCGUAACCGUUGAGCUAGAAGCGGAGAAUCAUUACCAGCAGGUGAACAGAACAGCGCGUGACCCCACGGCGAGAGAAGUGAUACAUCGAGAUGAGUAACGUUCGUGAAGGAAGUUGGAAUUCUGUAUAAGUCACGCGCGUUUCCUCGGAGCGUGAGGGAUAAUCGCGUUUUUCUCUCUAACUUGAAGAAGCUAUGACAUACUAAGGAGAGUGAGUUUCGAGUUCGUGUGUCAGUUAUUCCGGUGAAGACUUUCGAUAAAAUCUCCUCCGGUAGGUGGCUGACGGUGGUUGCUGAGUUGUUUCCUACCAUCACCGGUAAGAAAUUCUCACGAAAAUAACUACUUUCUUCUUUUUAGGAAUAUGUAUGAAGGAAAUUUAUAGAGGUAAGGUGAUUGGGGUAUUGAGUAUCAAUCAAUGAAAUCUAGUGAGUGAUAUUUGUGGCAGUUUCUGAGAUGUUAUAAAGAGUAAUGUUUUUAUUACAUUUUUAUUUUAUUUUAUUGUAUUGUGUAUGGUAGAGGAUGAUAUCAUAUGCUUGAUUGAUAAUGGGUAUUGAUGGGUAUGGUAUGGCUAUUAUUAGUCAUAAGAUUGAAAACACUUUGUUGGUUGGGUGAUGCAUAGCCACGUGAAUACGAUGUAUGUAGCUCACUAAAUUUUAAAGGGUUU